This is a long non-coding RNA of Gossypium arboreum, 1235 nucleotides long. RefSeq lists it as uncharacterized. The transcript has 4 exons. Lineage: Eukaryota; Viridiplantae; Streptophyta; Magnoliopsida; Malvales; Malvaceae. The record is from RefSeq and is a predicted model, not a curated record.
AAGCAAAUUAGAAAGCUGGCUUCUAGUAAUUUCCAUUAAUUGUCCAUAUUCCAAAAAGAAAACCCUAAAGUUUUAUCUGCUACCCAUUUCCCUUUCCCAUUCAGUUCGGGUUCUGCUGCCUCUUCCUCUCCAUUGCUCGUUACACAAAGUUCGGAAUGGCCCCAUCUAUGUAAAAAUCUUCCCUCUUUUUCAAACCUUCCAUAGCCAGAUGAUGAAGACGUGUGCUUCCAAAUCUAGAAACAUGUAGUGUUGAACAUUUGCAAUAAUAGUCCCAAUCUUCGAUUUGUCCCUUCUGUCCGACCUGCAUAUCUUGAUCAUUUUCAACGAGUCUCCCUCAAUUACAACUGAAUCAAGACCCAAACGGACUCCAAAUCUCAACGCUUGAUAACAUACAUACGCCUUCGCGGCAAACAAAGAGAGAGUCGCCUUAUCACAAACAACCAUCAAGGCCAAGAUUUCCCCUGAGGAGUUCCUAGCCACUCCCAAAUCCCGAUCUAGCCUGAUAGACAUCAAAAGCUCCAUCAAAGUUAAUCUUGACGAUUGAUUCGCAUGGAGGUGUCCACUGCUCUUGAAUAUUCAAUACGUUGGUUUCUACUAGUCGAAAACGUUCAGAUACCACAACAGAAUAAUCUACACUACUCACUUGAUGAAUUUCGGAAAACCCAGGGCAGUCCCGAAACAUAUGAAUAGAGUCCUUCACUGAUCUGCGACAGCUUGGGCAUAAUGUACCCACUAUUAUUUUCUUGUACCUUAGGUUAGCAAGUGUAGGCGUGUAAUUCCACAAAAUUCUUUAUAUUGUUGUUUUUAUUUUCGGAAGGAGAUGUAAAUCCCAUAAUUUUUUGUAAAAGUAGUUAGGAUUUGGUUGUAAUAUAUUAUCAUUAGAAAGUAAGGAACCUAUUUGUAAUAGUUUAUAGGCACUUCUCACAGUAAACUCUCCAAUCGGCUUUCUACCCCAAAUUUGAAUAUCCUCAUGAGCAACUCUCGACAAAGGGAUCUGCAGAAUUUUAUUUGCAACCUCAAUUUGAAAGACUUUGGCAACCAAGAGUCUUCUCUACUAGAUAUUCUUUCACCCCAUCCCACGCUCCAACCCAAACCCUUCUAUAGUAGUCCCUGUGUAGCCCAAACACUCUUUUAGGUAUACAAAGGUAGACUUCUUAACCUUGCAUUUAAAAAAUAUGUAAAUGGAAAAUACUUUGCUUUUUAAAAUACAAGCUAAAAGAGAAUUCAAAUAAGUA